RNAcentral lists this long non-coding RNA (239 nucleotides) under Homo sapiens (human). Its description in RNAcentral is "HSALNT0255806". Lineage: Eukaryota; Metazoa; Chordata; Mammalia; Primates; Hominidae. The record is from RNAcentral.
GUCCAUUCUGGACCUGAGUUGGUUCCUGUUAGUGUCAAGGAUGGGGUCAGACCGAGAAUGCUGGGGGAGGGUUUUCCGUGGAAAAAUUGCGCUAGAGAUUUGGCCAAAAACAAACAAGCAAAAAUGGCUUGCCCUCAACUAAUACUCGGCAGUGAUGAGUGCUGGAAAAACGGGCGAAUAUAAGAAUAUUUAACAGCUCUGAACUGGUUCAUCCUGGAACCAAGGAAAGUAUGCAAGGA